CGGCGAGCGAAACGGGAAGAGCCCAAACCAACAAGCUUGCUUGUUGGGGUUGUAGGACACUCUAUACGGAGUUACAAAGGACGACAUUAGACGAAUCAUCUGGAAAGAUGAAUCAAAGAAGGUAAUAAUCCUGUAGUCGAAAAUGUUGUCUCUCUUGAGUGGAUCCUGAGUACGACGGAGCACGUGAAAUUCCGUCGGAAUCUGGGAGGACCAUCUCCUAAGGCUAAAUACUCUCUAGUGACCGAUAGUGAACCAGUACCGUGAGGGAAAGGUGAAAAGCACCCCGGAAGGGGAGUGAAAUAGAACCUGAAACCGUGUGCUUACAAGUAGUCAGAGCCCGUUAAUGGGUGAUGGCGUGCCUUUUGUAGAAUGAACCGGCGAGUUACGAUUUGAUGCAAGGUUAAGCAGUAAAUGUGGAGCCGUAGCGAAAGCGAGUCUGAAUAGGGCGUUUAGUAUUUGGUCGUAGACCCGAAACCAGGUGAUCUACCCUUGGUCAGGUUGAAGUUCAGGUAACACUGAAUGGAGGACCGAACCGACUUACGUUGAAAAGUGAGCGGAUGAACUGAGGGUAGCGGAGAAAUUCCAAUCGAACCUGGAGAUAGCUGGUUCUCUCCGAAAUAGCUUUAGGGCUAGCCUCAAGUGAUGAUUAUUGGAGGUAGAGCACUGUUUGGACGAGGGGCCCCUCUCGGGUUACCGAAUUCAGACAAACUCCGAAUGCCAAUUAAUUUAACUUGGGAGUCAGAACAUGGGUGAUAAGGUCCGUGUUCGAAAGGGAAACAGCCCAGACCACCAGCUAAGGUCCCAAAAUAUAUGUUAAGUGGAAAAGGAUGUGGCGUUGCCCAGACAACUAGGAUGUUGGCUUAGAAGCAGCCAUCAUUUAAAGAGUGCGUAAUAGCUCACUAGUCGAGUGACACUGCGCCGAAAAUGUACCGGGGCUAAACAUAUUACCGAAGCUGUGGAUUGUCCUUUGGACAAUGGUAGGAGAGCGUUCUAAGGGCGUUGAAGCAUGAUCGUAAGGACAUGUGGAGCGCUUAGAAGUGAGAAUGCCGGUGUGAGUAGCGAAAGACGGGUGAGAAUCCCGUCCACCGAUUGACUAAGGUUUCCAGAGGAAGGCUCGUCCGCUCUGGGUUAGUCGGGUCCUAAGCUGAGGCCGACAGGCGUAGGCGAUGGAUAACAGGUUGAUAUUCCUGUACCACCUAUAAUCGUUUUA
This 1210-nucleotide ribosomal RNA is filed under the name Staphylococcus aureus. Its description in RNAcentral is "partial 23S ribosomal RNA". It matches the Rfam family "Bacterial large subunit ribosomal RNA", at positions 247 to 1461 of the family's 2925-position model. Lineage: Bacteria; Bacillati; Bacillota; Bacilli; Caryophanales; Staphylococcaceae. The record is from RNAcentral.